UGUGUAGGCGGUUCUUUAAGUUUGGUGUGAAAUCUCCCGGCUCAACCGGGAGGGUGCGCCGAAUACUGAGGGACUAGAGUGCGGGAGAGGAAAGUGGAAUUCCUGGUGUAGCGGUGAAAUACGUAGAUAUCAGGAGGAACACCGGUGGUGUAGACGGCUUUCUGGACCGUAACUGACGCUGAGACACGAAAGCGUGGGUAGCAAACA
RNAcentral lists this ribosomal RNA (207 nucleotides) under uncultured bacterium. RNAcentral describes it as "partial 16S ribosomal RNA". It matches the Rfam family "Bacterial small subunit ribosomal RNA", at positions 568 to 774 of the family's 1533-position model. The record is from RNAcentral.